AGCGAACGCUGGCGGCAGGCCUAACACAUGCAAGUCGAACGAACUCUUCGUAGUUAUUUGCGGUCCGGUGAUUAACACGUGGUAACUUGCCUUUUGGUUCGGUAUAACUCAGUUUAACUUGUGCUAAUACCGAUUGUGCCCUUCGCGGGUAAGAUUUAUCGCCAUUAGAUCGGCCCGCGUCUGAUUCGCUAGUUGGUGAGGUAACUGCUCACUAAGGCGUCGAUCAGUAGCUGGUCAGAGAGGAUGACCAGCUAGAAUGGAAAUGAGACACGGCCCAGACUGGGACGGGAGGGAGGAGAGGAGAAUAUAGCGGAAUGGGCGAAAGCGUGACGAAGCCAUGCGGGGUGAAUGAUGAAGGUCGUAGGAUAGUAAAAUUGUUUGACAGGGGACGAUAAUGACGGUAAACGGAGAAGAAGCACCGGCUAACUACGUG
This 433-nucleotide ribosomal RNA is filed under the name uncultured bacterium. RNAcentral's name for it is "partial 16S ribosomal RNA". It matches the Rfam family "Bacterial small subunit ribosomal RNA", at positions 29 to 507 of the family's 1533-position model. The record is from RNAcentral.